UGCCCUUGGAGGCGUGGCUUCCGGAGCUAACGCGUUAAGUCGACCGCCUGGGGAGUACGGCCGCAAGGUUAAAACUCAAAUGAAUUGACGGGGGCCCGCACAAGCGGUGGAGCAUGUGGUUUAAUUCGAUGCAACGCGAAGAACCUUACCUGGUCUUGACAUCCACAGAACUUGGCAGAGAUGCCUUGGUGCCUUCGGGAACUGUGAGACAGGUGCUGCAUGGCUGUCGUCAGCUCGUGUUGUGAAAUGUUGGGUUAAGUCCCGCAACGAGCGCAACCCUUAUCCUUUGUUGCCAGCGGUUAGGCCGGGAACUCAAAGGAGACUGCCAGUGAUAAACUGGAGGAAGGUGGGGAUGACGUCAAGUCAUCAUGGCCCUUACGACCAGGGCUACACACGUGCUACAAUGGCGCAUACAAAGAGAAGCAAACUCGCGAGAGCAAGCGGACCUCAUAAAGUGCGUCGUAGUCCGGAUUGGAGUCUGCAACUCGACUCCAUGAAGUCGGAAUCGCUAGUAAUCGUGAAUCAGAAUGUCACGGUGAAUACGUUCCCGGGCCUUGUACACACCGCCCGUCACACCAUGGGAGUGGGUUGCAAAAGAAGUAGGUAGCUUAACCUUCGGGAGGGCGCUUACCACUUUGUGAUUCAUGACUGGGGUGAAGUCGUAA
Molecule: ribosomal RNA, 665 nt
Filed under: Kosakonia cowanii
Lineage: Bacteria; Pseudomonadati; Pseudomonadota; Gammaproteobacteria; Enterobacterales; Enterobacteriaceae
Description: bacterial SSU rRNA
Rfam family: Bacterial small subunit ribosomal RNA
Source: RNAcentral